RNAcentral lists this ribosomal RNA (449 nucleotides) under uncultured bacterium. Its description in RNAcentral is "partial 16S ribosomal RNA". It matches the Rfam family "Bacterial small subunit ribosomal RNA", at positions 29 to 523 of the family's 1533-position model. The record is from RNAcentral.
AACGAACGCUGGCGGCAUGCCUAACACAUGCAAGUCGAACGAUAUCUUCGGGUCUAGUGGCGCACGGGUGCGUAACGCGUGGGAAUCUGCCCUUUGGUCCGGAAUUACAGUUGGAAACGACUGCUAAUAUCGGAUGAUGACGAAAGUCCAAAGAUUUAUCGCCAGAGGAUGAGCCCGCGUAGGAUUAGCUAGUUGGUGUGGUUAAGGCGCACUAAGGCGACGAUCCUUAGCUGGUCUGAGAGGAAGAUCAGCCACAAUGGGACUGAGACACGUACCAGACACCUACGGGAGGCAGCAGUGGGGAAUAUUGGACAAUGGGCGAAAGCCUGAUCCAGCAAUGCCGCGUGAGUGAUGAAGGCCUUAGGGUUGUAAAGCUCUUUUACCCGUGAUGAUAAUGACAGUACCGGGAGAAUAAGCUCCGGCUAACUCCGUGCCAGCCGCCGCCGUAA